GUGUCGCACGGACUGACUGACACCAACUAUCUACAGCUGACACACCUGUAGAUAGUUGGUGUCAGUCAGUCCGUGCGAGCA
Molecule: microRNA precursor, 81 nt
Filed under: Plutella xylostella (diamondback moth)
Lineage: Eukaryota; Metazoa; Arthropoda; Insecta; Lepidoptera; Plutellidae
Description: microRNA pxy-mir-8535 precursor (pxy-mir-8535-1, pxy-mir-8535-2)
Source: miRBase by way of RNAcentral